RNAcentral lists this ribosomal RNA (391 nucleotides) under uncultured bacterium. Its description in RNAcentral is "bacterial SSU rRNA". It matches the Rfam family "Bacterial small subunit ribosomal RNA", at positions 370 to 772 of the family's 1533-position model. The record is from RNAcentral.
AAUGGGCGCAAGCCUGAUGCAGCGACGCCGCGUGGGGGAUGAAGGCCUUCGGGUUGUAAACUCCUUUCAACCAUGACGAAGCGUAAGUGACGGUAGUGGUAGAAGAAGCACCGGCUAACUACGUGCCAGCAGCCGCGGUAAUACGUGGGGUGCGAGCGUUGUCCGGAAUUACUGGGCGUAAAGAGCUCGUAGGUGGUUUGUCGCGUCGUCUGUGAAAUUCCGGGGCUUAACUCCGGGCGUGCAGGCGAUACGGGCAUAACUUGAGUGCUGUAGGGGAGACUGGAAUUCCUGGUGUAGCGGUGAAAUGCGCAGAUAUCAGGAGGAACACCGAUGGCGAAGGCAGGUCUCUGGGCAGUAACUGACGCUGAGGAGCGAAAGCAUGGGUAGCGAA